This 1000-nucleotide ribosomal RNA is filed under the name uncultured Bacteroidota bacterium. RNAcentral's name for it is "bacterial SSU rRNA". It matches the Rfam family "Bacterial small subunit ribosomal RNA", at positions 28 to 1027 of the family's 1533-position model. The record is from RNAcentral. Lineage: Bacteria; Pseudomonadati; Bacteroidota.
GAUGAACGCUAGCGGCAGGCCUAACACAUGCAAGUCGAGGGGUAACAGGAGAGCUUGCUCUUGCUGACGACCGGCGCACGGGUGCGUAACGCGUAUACAAUUUACCUUAUACUAAGGGAUAGCCCGAAGAAAUUUGGAUUAAUACCUUAUGGUAUUUAUGGAUCGCAUGAUUUAUAAAUUAAAGAUUACGGUAUAAGAUGAGUAUGCGUCCUAUUAGUUAGUAGGUGAGGUAACGGCUCACCUAGACGAUGAUAGGUAGGGGUCCUGAGAGGGAGGUCCCCCACACUGGUACUGAGACACGGACCAGACUCCUACGGGAGGCAGCAGUGAGGAAUAUUGGACAAUGGAAGGAAUUCUGAUCCAGCCAUGCCGCGUGCAGGAAGACUGCCCUAUGGGUUGUAAACUGCUUUUAUACAGGAAGAAAAAAGUGUACGUGUACACUAUUGACGGUACUGUACGAAUAAGGAUCGGCUAACUCCGUGCCAGCAGCCGCGGUAAUACGGAGGAUCCAAGCGUUAUCCGGAAUCAUUGGGUUUAAAGGGUCCGUAGGCGGGAGAUUAAGUCAGUGGUGAAAGUUUGUGGCUCAACCAUAAAAUUGCCAUUGAUACUGGUUUUCUUGAGUUAUUGUGAAGUGGUUAGAAUGAGUAGUGUAGCGGUGAAAUGCAUAGAUAUUACUCAGAAUACCGAUUGCGAAGGCAGAUCGCUAACAAUACACUGACGCUGAUGGACGAAAGCGUAGGUAGCGAACAGGAUUAGAUACCCUGGUAGUCUACGCCGUAAACGAUGGUUACUAGCUGUUCGGGCAAAUUGAUGUCUGAGUGGCUAAGCGAAAGUGAUAAGUAACCCACCUGGGGAGUACGUUCGCAAGAAUGAAACUCAAAGGAAUUGACGGGGGCCCGCACAAGCGGUGGAGCAUGUGGUUUAAUUCGAUGAUACGCGAGGAACCUUACCAGGGCUUAAAUGCAGUUUGACAGGACUAGAGAUAGUUUUUUCUUCGGAC